GCCUACGUAGCUCAACGGUUAGAGCGCUUCGAUAUCUUAUUCCGAGUGACUCCAUGUUUAACGAGGAGACGUGGGUUUGAAUCCCACUGGAGGCA
Molecule: non-coding RNA, 95 nt
Organism: Mycena alexandri
Lineage: Eukaryota; Fungi; Basidiomycota; Agaricomycetes; Agaricales; Mycenaceae
Source: the annotation of a GenBank genome assembly